Molecule: long non-coding RNA, 538 nt
Organism: Gadus morhua (Atlantic cod)
Lineage: Eukaryota; Metazoa; Chordata; Actinopteri; Gadiformes; Gadidae
Source: Ensembl
ACAUUCUAAGAAGCCGAGGAAACUUUGCCCACAAUGCUGCUGUUUUGAAACAAUGACAUCGAGAUUGACCCUGAAGAAACAGUUGAUUCCUCACAAGAUAAGGACGUGUCAAGUGAUGAGGAUGAGACUGUUCAACCUACAACUGAGGCCACAGGAAAAGACAGGCAUGACGACACGGAUGAAGACGACCAUGAGACAUCAGAGAACGUAUCUUCACCUCUGGCUGUUUCCAGUUCCAUUUCUCCCAGAGCUCCACUCAAUCAAGACAAAAGAGGUAAUUCUAAGCGCAUGUGGUAAGCGAGUGAGAUCCGUGCAGUGGACCGACACAUGAUGCGGUUCAUCAACACCUGUAAGGUACCUCGAAAGAUGGACUGCAUACUCUGCAUCAAGGCGGAACCCAAUGCCCUCAAAAAGCGAGACUGGAUUGGACUCAAAAAUUACAUCAGGAAUCGAAUAACUUCCUUGAAGAGGAAGGCUUGUGCUCAGCACUGGAGGCUCUAGAGGGGGGAGGAGGGGGAGGUAAUAUGUUGUUAUUGUG